UGGGGAAUAUUGCACAAUGGAGGGAACUCUGAUGCAGCGACGCCGCGUGAACGAAGAAGGCUUUCGAGUCGUAAAGUUCUUUUAUAUGGGAAGAUAAUGACGGUACCAUAAGAAGAAGCCCCGGCUAACUACGUGCCAGCAGCCGCGGUAAUACAUAGGGGGCUAGCGUUGUCCGGAAUCACUGGGCGUAAAGGGUUCGCAGGCGGAAAUGCAAGUCAGGUGUAAAAGGCAGUAGCUUAACUACUGUAAGCAUUUGAAACUGCAUAUCUUGAGAAGAGUAGAGGUAAGUGGAAUUUUUAGUGUAGCGGUGAAAUGCGUAGAUAUUAAAAAGAAUACCGGUGGCGAAGGCGACUUACUGGGCUCAUUCUGACGCUGAGGAACGAAAGCGUGGGUAGCAAACAGG
This 403-nucleotide ribosomal RNA is filed under the name bacterium. RNAcentral describes it as "partial 16S ribosomal RNA". It matches the Rfam family "Bacterial small subunit ribosomal RNA", at positions 355 to 776 of the family's 1533-position model. The record is from RNAcentral.